UUAAGCGACUAAGCGUACACGGUGGAUGCCCUGGCAGUCAGAGGCGAUGAAGGACGUGCUAAUCUGCGAUAAGCGUCGGUAAGGUGAUAUGAACCGUUAUAACCGGCGAUUUCCGAAUGGGGAAACCCAGUGUGAUUCGUCACACUAUCAUUAACUGAAUCCAUAGGUUAAUGAGGCGAACCGGGGGAACUGAAACAUCUAAGUACCCCGAGGAAAAGAAAUCAACCGAGAUUCCCCCAGUAGCGGCGAGCGAACGGGGAGCAGCCCAGAGCCUGAAUCAGUGUGUGUGUUAGUGGAAGCGUCUGGAAAGGCGCGCGAUACAGGGUGACAGCCCCGUACACAAAAAUGCACAUACUGUGAGCUCGAUGAGUAGGGCGGGACACGUGGUAUCCUGUCUGAAUAUGGGGGGACCAUCCUCCAAGGCUAAAUACUCCUGACUGACCGAUAGUGAACCAGUACCGUGAGGGAAAGGCGAAAAGAACCCCGGCGAGGGGAGUGAAAAAGAACCUGAAACCGUGUACGUACAAGCAGUGGGAGCACAGAGCAAUCUGUGUGACUGCGUACCUUUUGUAUAAUGGGUCAGCGACUUAUAUUCUGUAGCAAGGUUAACCGAAUAGGGGAGCCGAAGGGAAACCGAGUCUUAACUGGGCGUUAAGUUGCAGGGUAUAGACCCGAAACCCGGUGAUCUAGCCAUGGGCAGGUUGAAGGUUGGGUAACACUAACUGGAGGACCGAACCGACUAAUGUUGAAAAAUUAGCGGAUGACUUGUGGCUGGGGGUGAAAGGCCAAUCAAACCGGGAGAUAGCUGGUUCUCCCCGAAAGCUAUUUAGGUAGCGCCUCGUGAAUUCAUCUCCGGGGGUAGAGCACUGUUUCGGCAAGGGGGUCAUCCCGACUUACCAACCCGAUGCAAACUGCGAAUACCGGAGAAUGUUAUCACGGGAGACACACGGCGGGUGCUAACGUCCGUCGUGAAGAGGGAAACAACCCAGACCGCCAGCUAAGGUCCCAAAGUCAUGGUUAAGUGGGAAACGAUGUGGGAAGGCCCAGACAGCCAGGAUGUUGGCUUAGAAGCAGCCAUCAUUUAAAGAAAGCGUAAUAGCUCACUGGUCGAGUCGGCCUGCGCGGAAGAUGUAACGGGGCUAAACCAUGCACCGAAGCUGCGGCAGCGACACUAUGUGUUGUUGGGUAGGGGAGCGUUCUGUAAGCCUGUGAAGGUGUACUGUGAGGUAUGCUGGAGGUAUCAGAAGUGCGAAUGCUGACAUAAGUAACGAUAAAGCGGGUGAAAAGCCCGCUCGCCGGAAGACCAAGGGUUCCUGUCCAACGUUAAUCGGGGCAGGGUGAGUCGACCCCUAAGGCGAGGCCGAAAGGCGUAGUCGAUGGGAAACAGGUUAAUAUUCCUGUACUUGGUGUUACUGCGAAGGGGGGACGGAGAAGGCUAUGUUGGCCGGGCGACGGUUGUCCCGGUUUAAGCGUGUAGGCUGGUUUUCCAGGCAAAUCCGGAAAAUCAAGGCUGAGGCGUGAUGACGAGGCACUACGGUGCUGAAGCAACAAAUGCCCUGCUUCCAGGAAAAGCCUCUAAGCAUCAGGUAACAUCAAAUCGUACCCCAAACCGACACAGGUGGUCAGGUAGAGAAUACCAAGGCGCUUGAGAGAACUCGGGUGAAGGAACUAGGCAAAAUGGUGCCGUAACUUCGGGAGAAGGCACGCUGAUAUGUAGGUGAAGCGACUUGCUCGUGGAGCUGAAAUCAGUCGAAGAUACCAGCUGGCUGCAACUGUUUAUUAAAAACACAGCACUGUGCAAACACGAAAGUGGACGUAUACGGUGUGACGCCUGCCCGGUGCCGGAAGGUUAAUUGAUGGGGUUAGCGGUAACGCGAAGCUCUUGAUCGAAGCCCCGGUAAACGGCGGCCGUAACUAUAACGGUCCUAAGGUAGCGAAAUUCCUUGUCGGGUAAGUUCCGACCUG
RNAcentral lists this ribosomal RNA (1965 nucleotides) under human gut metagenome. RNAcentral describes it as "bacterial LSU rRNA". It matches the Rfam family "Bacterial large subunit ribosomal RNA", at positions 1 to 1990 of the family's 2925-position model. The record is from RNAcentral.